CUAGACGCUGAGGACGUAGCUUGCUAUUGAAUCUUGUUUAGCUUAGUGGCGGACGGGUGAGUAACGCGUGAGCAACCUGCCUUUCAGAGGGGGAUAACGUUUGGAAACGAACGCUAAUACCGCAUAAUAUUAUUGGAUCGCAUGGUCUGAUAAUCAAAGGAGCAAUCCGCUGAAAGAUGGGCUCGCGUCCGAUUAGGUAGUUGGCGGGGCAACGGCCCACCAAGCCGACGAUCGGUAGCCGGACUGAGAGGUUGAACGGCCACAUUGGGACUGAGACACGGCCCAGACUCCUACGGGAGGCAGCAGUGAGGGAUAUUGGUCAAUGGGGGAAACCCUGAACCAGCAACGCCGCGUGAGGGAAGACGGUUUUCGGAUUGUAAACCUCUGUCCUCUGUGAAGAUGAUGACGGUAGCAGAGGAGGAAGCUCCGGCUAACUACGUGCCAGCAGCCGCGGUAAUACGUAGGGAGCGAGCGUUGUCCGGAUUUACUGGGUGUAAAGGGUGCGUAGGCGGCUCUGCAAGUCAGAAGUGAAAUCUAUGGGCUUAACCCAUAAACUGCUUUUGAAACUGUGGAGCUUGAGUGAAGUAGAGGUAGGCGGAAUUCCCGGUGUAGCGGUGAAAUGCGUAGAGAUCGGGAGGAACACCAGUGGCGAAGGCGGCCUACUGGGCUUUAACUGACGCUGAGGCACGAAAGCGUGGGUAGCAAACA
RNAcentral lists this ribosomal RNA (708 nucleotides) under uncultured bacterium. Its description in RNAcentral is "bacterial SSU rRNA". It matches the Rfam family "Bacterial small subunit ribosomal RNA", at positions 58 to 774 of the family's 1533-position model. The record is from RNAcentral.